AGAGUUUGAUCAUGGCUCAGAUUGAACGCUGGCGGCAGGCCUAACACAUGCAAGUCGAGCGGUAGCACAGAGAGCUUGCUCUCGGGUGACGAGCGGCGGACGGGUGAGUAAUGUCUGGGAAACUGCCUGAUGGAGGGGGAUAACUACUGGAAACGGUAGCUAAUACCGCAUAAUGUCGCAAGACCAAAGUGGGGGACCUUCGGGCCUCAUGCCAUCAGAUGUGCCCAGAUGGGAUUAGCUAGUAGGUGGGGUAACGGCUCACCUAGGCGACGAUCCCUAGCUGGUCUGAGAGGAUGACCAGCCACACUGGAACUGAGACACGGUCCAGACUCCUACGGGAGGCAGCAGUGGGGAAUAUUGCACAAUGGGCGCAAGCCUGAUGCAGCCAUGCCGCGUGUGUGAAGAAGGCCUUCGGGUUGUAAAGCACUUUCAGCGGGGAGGAAGGCGGUGAGGUUAAUAACCUCAUCGAUUGACGUUACCCGCAGAAGAAGCACCGGCUAACUCCGUGCCAGCAGCCGCGGUAAUACGGAGGGUGCAAGCGUUAAUCGGAAUUACUGGGCGUAAAGCGCACGCAGGCGGUCUGUCAAGUCGGAUGUGAAAUCCCCGGGCUUAACCUGGGAACUGCAUUCGAAACUGGCAGGCUAGAGUCUUGUAGAGGGGGGUAGAAUUCCAGGUGUAGCGGUGAAAUGCGUAGAGAUCUGGAGGAAUACCGGUGGCGAAGGCGGCCCCCUGGACAAAGACUGACGCUCAGGUGCGAAAGCGUGGGGAGCAAACAGGAUUAGAUACCCUGGUAGUCCACGCCGUAAACGAUGUCGAUUUGGAGGUUGUGCCCUUGAGGCGUGGCUUCCGGAGCUAACGCGUUAAAUCGACCGCCUGGGGAGUACGGCCGCAAGGUUAAAACUCAAAUGAAUUGACGGGGGCCCGCACAAGCGGUGGAGCAUGUGGUUUAAUUCGAUGCAACGCGAAGAACCUUACCUGGUCUUGACAUCCACAGAACUUUCCAGAGAUGGAUUGGUGCCUUCGGGAACUGUGAGACAGGUGCUGCAUGGCUGUCGUCAGCUCGUGUUGUGAAAUGUUGGGUUAAGUCCCGCAACGAGCGCAACCCUUAUCCUUUGUUGCCAGCGGUUAGGCCGGGAACUCAAAGGAGACUGCCAGUGAUAAACUGGAGGAAGGUGGGGAUGACGUCAAGUCAUCAUGGCCCUUACGACCAGGGCUACACACGUGCUACAAUGGCAUAUACAAAGAGAAGCGACCUCGCGAGAGCAAGCGGACCUCAUAAAGUAUGUCGUAGUCCGGAUUGGAGUCUGCAACUCGACUCCAUGAAGUCGGAAUCGCUAGUAAUCGUAGAUCAGAAUGCUACGGUGAAUACGUUCCCGGGCCUUGUACACACCGCCCGUCACACCAUGGGAGUGGGUUGCAAAAGAAGUAGGUAGCUUAACCUUCGGGAGGGCGCUUACCACUUUGUGAUUCAUGACUGGGGUGAAGUCGUAACAAGGUAACCGUAGGGGAACCUGCGGUUGGAUCACCU
This 1528-nucleotide ribosomal RNA is filed under the name Klebsiella pneumoniae. RNAcentral's name for it is "bacterial SSU rRNA". It matches the Rfam family "Bacterial small subunit ribosomal RNA". The record is from RNAcentral. Lineage: Bacteria; Pseudomonadati; Pseudomonadota; Gammaproteobacteria; Enterobacterales; Enterobacteriaceae.